Molecule: small RNA, 119 nt
Filed under: Salmonella enterica subsp. enterica serovar Enteritidis
Lineage: Bacteria; Pseudomonadati; Pseudomonadota; Gammaproteobacteria; Enterobacterales; Enterobacteriaceae
Description: RtT sRNA
Rfam family: RtT RNA
About the family: This family represents a bacterial cis-regulatory element known as RtT RNA. The exact function of RtT is unknown although it is thought that it may be involved in changing the cellular response in relation to amino acid starvation.
Source: RNAcentral
GUAUCUGAAGUCUGACGGGGAUGAGAACCUCCGGGGGCAAGAGGUUCGACUCGAGCGAAGCGAGAGAACGUUGCGUCAGCAACGGCCCGCAGUGGCAAGUCAUCCUCUGUCACCGGCAG